Molecule: ribosomal RNA, 252 nt
Filed under: uncultured bacterium
Lineage: Bacteria
Description: partial 16S ribosomal RNA
Rfam family: Bacterial small subunit ribosomal RNA
Source: RNAcentral
CCGCACGGUAAACGAUGGACACCCGCUGUCGGCGAUACACUGUCGGCGGCCAAGCGAAAGCGUUAAGUGUCCCACCUGGGGAGUACGCCGGCAACGGUGAAACUCAAAGGAAUUGACGGGGGCCCGCACAAGCGGAGGAACAUGUGGUUUAAUUCGAUGAUACGCGAGGAACCUUACCCGGGCUUAAAUCACAUACGAACGUUCCGGAAACGGGACGGCCGCAAGGCGUAUGUGAAGGUGCUGCAUGGUUGU